This 166-nucleotide ribosomal RNA is filed under the name uncultured bacterium. RNAcentral's name for it is "partial 16S ribosomal RNA". It matches the Rfam family "Bacterial small subunit ribosomal RNA", at positions 1335 to 1500 of the family's 1533-position model. The record is from RNAcentral.
CUAGUAAUCGCGAAUCAGAAUGUCGCGGUGAAUGCGUCCCCGGGUCUUGUACACACCGCCCGUCACACCAUGGGAGUCGGAAAUGCCCGAAGUCUGUGACCCAACCUAAAGGAGGGAGCAGCCGAAGGCAGGUCGGAUGACUGGGGUGAAGUCGUAACAAGGUAUC